CAAACGGUCCUUUUCAGGACCACCAAAGAGUUUCAAAAGAGUUAAAU
Non-coding RNA from Aedes aegypti (yellow fever mosquito), 47 nucleotides. The record is from Rfam. Lineage: Eukaryota; Metazoa; Arthropoda; Insecta; Diptera; Culicidae.